CAAUAGCGCGCAGAGCAGCCUGAUUCUACUGAUCCUCUUCUGGCCAAUGGGCGCUGCGCUCCUCCUGCUCACAUGACGCGCCUUUCUGUGCGCUCUCCUCUCCUCUCAGCGCUCAAUCCCGGCGAGUGCAGGCAUCACUGAAGACCUGACACCGGCGGAAUCGGACGUCUGACUGACUGACUUGUCCUCGGCAGAAUUAAACCCAGGUGUUUAUCUUUUACGCAAAACUUGUAUCGCCAUCAUGAUGAAGCUGAACCGUCUCCUGUCCGGUGAGAGUGAGCGCGCUUCAGCCGGAGAGGAAGAGACUUUUUGUCCGUCUCCAAGCGCCCGGAGAGGCGCAUGCAGGGCUCGAGACAAUAGCGCCCAGAAGAACUUAUUGAAAUGAAUCUAGCUGGCACGAGAAGAAGAAACUGAACGAGUGCUAGCAGCGUUGGCCUUCACCGCAGAGGGAAGCAGAAGAGCAAACGAGGAAAAGCUGAGCGAUGAAAGAGAGGUCCAGACAUGAAGGAGGCACGCAUUCACACACACACAUGUGAAGGCACCUAGAGUCUGUCUGCGGUCUACCACACACACACGCACACAUGCCCGUUACGGGCAGCAGAUAAAGAGGGAGACGCCAUUCCAGCUGUGAGGAGACAGAAGAAGUCAACACACACACAUACACACACACAGAGCCGGAGGCGUGCGAGCAGGUGAGCAUUAAGUCAGGCAGCUAAACAGAUCACGUCGCGGUAUGAUAUCUGCAGACAGGCAGACAGAGGAGGCCGGUCUGUACCUGCAGGCAGAGAGCAACAACUCACAGCACCCUCGCCAGGAAUUUCCUCCCCCUCCAAAAAGAGAGAGAGGAGUGAGAGACAUAAACUGGGGUUUCCACUGAAGUGUUUUUAUGAAAACCAAAUAGUUAAAGUCUAUUUGGAAACUGGCUGGCAGAUUUAGUUUUUAUUCACAUGUUUUUCAGACACCUUCAAUGUGACAAAAUAUUUGAUUAAAGCAGUAGAGACAUAUUUAUAAUGAAAUAAUGAGGCCUGUAUUUCAACCCAACAUUUUUUGUUGUUGUUUCUCCAGUAUAAAGUGCAGUAAAAACUUUUAAUAACAUUAAAUAUUACUAACAUUAGCUAACAAUAAAGAACAUUAAUGUCAUUGCUCAGUUCAUCACUGUCUUGACUGUAACAUUUUCAGUAGUUUUUAUUUUUAUUGAGAUUUAGAUUGUAGAUUUCAGCUCAUGUGUAGCCAGUUUUGCAGCUACAUUUGCAGUUUUAUCUCUGGACAUAUAUAUAUAUAUAUAUAUAUGUAUGUGUAUAAAUUAACUUAUUAACUAUUUAUCUUUUUAAAAUCUUUUUAGCAUGCAAUUUUCAUAUUCAACCUAGUCCAUGAUUUAAAAAAAAAAAAAAAAUUGACUCUUAAAUGCAUUUUUUUAGUUUCAUAGUUUUGCAUGCCUAAAAUGAUCCGUAUGGAGUGAUGAUACUAGAGGACAGUGAGAUGGAGGAGUAGAGGAUAGUCCUAUGUAGACAAGAAGUUGCACAAAAACUGCCCCAAUAUGUCGCCUCUUUGGUCGUAUUGUCAGCCCAACAUUCUCCCUUCAUCUCAGUAGAUGAAAGGAUAUCCUUUGACAUUAAUAAAGAAGUUCACACGCUACUGUAA
Molecule: long non-coding RNA, 1641 nt
Organism: Sebastes umbrosus (honeycomb rockfish)
Lineage: Eukaryota; Metazoa; Chordata; Actinopteri; Perciformes; Sebastidae
Exons: 4
Source: RefSeq, a predicted model, not a curated record